Long non-coding RNA from Maylandia zebra (zebra mbuna), 667 nucleotides. RefSeq lists it as uncharacterized. The record is from RefSeq and is a predicted model, not a curated record. Lineage: Eukaryota; Metazoa; Chordata; Actinopteri; Cichliformes; Cichlidae.
UCUAAGGGAAAAACACUUUCUCACGGCCGGUGACAGCGAAGUGGAUAACAGGCUUCAGUACCUGCUGGUCUUUGAAGCUCUGGAUUCUUGGAAAAGAGGCGGCGGCAAGAGGGGAGACCUCGGAUCAUCCAGCUGGAGAGCUUGACCAGGAGGAGUCAAACAUUAACUCGGUUCUUCCAGGGCACCCUGCAGACUUAGCUGCUGGCAUUGGCGAGGGAGUGCAGCUGCCACUGGGAUGACGUGAACGCCAAACAGGAGUCCAUCGCAGGUCGACUGCAGCUCCUUGUCUUAGAGUGGGAGGGAUUUGAAGCACAAAGGGAGGACCUUGUCAUUUGGUUGGCUGAUACGGAUGUCCGCCUGAGUGAGGUUGACCAGCUGACAAGAAACACCUAUGAAAAACUGAAACAACUGCAGGUGUGGGGUUGUUUUGAUAUGACAUAUAUUUGAUAUGAUACAUACGUCAGAGACAUGGUCCUAAACUGGACUAACAAAGGACCAUGAGUACAACAUGAAACUUGCCUUACAUAACGCUAAAGUUCAUUGAUAAUUUUAAUCAAAAACUUGUUGUUGUUGUUGUUGAAAUAUUUUUACUGAACAUGCAAACAUCUGCUGAUGACAAUGUGUUGAUUUAAUGGUCUGUUAUGAAGCUAUUGCUAUUUCUAAUGUG